Molecule: ribosomal RNA, 215 nt
Filed under: uncultured bacterium
Lineage: Bacteria
Description: partial 16S ribosomal RNA
Rfam family: Bacterial small subunit ribosomal RNA
Source: RNAcentral
GACGAAGGGGGCUAGCGUUGUUCGGAAUUACUGGGCGUAAAGCGAGUGUAGGUGGUUGUCCAAGUUGGAUGUGAAAGCCUUGAGCUCAACUCGAGAAAUGCAUUCAGGACUGGAUGGCUAGAGGACCGGAGAGGAUAGUGGAAUUCCCAGUGUAGUGGUGAAAUACGUAGAGAUUGGGAAGAACACCAGUGGCGAAGGCGGCUAUCUGGACGGUU